GAUGAACGCUGGCGGCGUGCCUAAUACAUGCAAGUCGAGCGAACAGACGAGGAGCUUGCUCCUCUGACGUUAGCGGCGGACGGGUGAGUAACACGUGGAUAACCUACCUAUAAGACUGGGAUAACUUCGGGAAACCGGAGCUAAUACCGGAUAAUAUAUUGAACCGCAUGGUUCAAUAGUGAAAGACGGUUUUGCUGUCACUUAUAGAUGGAUCCGCGCCGCAUUAGCUAGUUGGUAAGGUAACGGCUUACCAAGGCAACGAUGCGUAGCCGACCUGAGAGAGAGUGGAGCCACCCGUGACGUAACCACCGGACCAGACUACUGCGUGAGGCAGCAGCAGGUAGUCUGCGGCAAUGGGAGAAGAGUUGAACAAUGAUCGCAUAGGGAAAGAUGAAAGGCGUCGGAACCUAUGAACGUGUUAUCAGUAACGAACAAAAACGUAAGUGACAAUGCCCUUCUUGACGCUGCCUUAGCAGAUAGCCACGGCAACCUCCGUC
This 497-nucleotide ribosomal RNA is filed under the name uncultured bacterium. Its description in RNAcentral is "partial 16S ribosomal RNA". It matches the Rfam family "Bacterial small subunit ribosomal RNA", at positions 28 to 507 of the family's 1533-position model. The record is from RNAcentral.